GGUCCUUUGCAGCUCAGUUGGUAGAGCACGGCGCUUUUAACACCAGGGCAGUGGGUUUGAUUCCCACGAGUACCC
This 75-nucleotide transfer RNA is filed under the name Salmo salar (Atlantic salmon). It matches the Rfam family "tRNA". From Rfam's summary of the family: Transfer RNA (tRNA) molecules are approximately 80 nucleotides in length. Their secondary structure includes four short double-helical elements and three loops (D, anti-codon, and T loops). Further hydrogen bonds mediate the characteristic L-shaped molecular structure. tRNAs have two regions of fundamental functional importance: the anti-codon, which is responsible for specific mRNA codon recognition, and the 3' end, to which the tRNAs corresponding amino acid is attached (by aminoacyl-tRNA synthetases). tRNAs cope with the degeneracy of the genetic code in two manners: having more than one tRNA (with a specific anti-codon) for a particular amino acid; and 'wobble' base-pairing, i.e. permitting non-standard base-pairing at the 3rd anti-codon position. The record is from Rfam by way of RNAcentral. Lineage: Eukaryota; Metazoa; Chordata; Actinopteri; Salmoniformes; Salmonidae.